Molecule: transfer RNA, 65 nt
Filed under: Castor fiber (Eurasian beaver)
Lineage: Eukaryota; Metazoa; Chordata; Mammalia; Rodentia; Castoridae
Description: transfer RNA-Lys
Source: RNAcentral
CAUUAUGAAGCUACCGCAGCAUUAACCUUUUAAGUUAAAGAUAGAGAGCUUGCUCUCCAUAAUGA